Molecule: ribosomal RNA, 253 nt
Filed under: uncultured bacterium
Lineage: Bacteria
Description: partial 16S ribosomal RNA
Rfam family: Bacterial small subunit ribosomal RNA
Source: RNAcentral
UACGGGGGGAGCAAGCGUUGUUCGGAUUUACUGGGCGUAAAGGGCGCGUAGGCGGCGUGACAAGUCACUUGUGAAAUCUCCGGGCUUAACCCGGAGCGGUCAAGUGAUACUGUCGUGCUAGAGUGCGGAAGGGGCUACUGGAAUUCUCGGUGUAGCGGUGAAAUGCGUAGAUAUCGAGAGGAACACCAGUGGCGAAGGCGACUACCUGGACAGAUACUGACACUGAGGCGCGAGAGCGUGGGUAGCAAACAGG